CGUAGGUGGCAAGCGUUGUCCGGAAUUAUUGGGCGUAAAGCGCGCGCAGGCGGCCUCUUAAGUCUGAUGUGAAAGCCCCCGGCUCAACCGGGGAGGGCCAUUGGAAACUGGGAGGCUUGAGUAUAGGAGAGAAGAGUGGAAUUCCACGUGUAGCGGUGAAAUGCGUAGAGAUGUGGAGGAACACCAGUGGCGAAGGCGACUCUUUGGCCUAUAACUGACGCUGAGGCGCGAAAGCGUGGGAGCAAACAGGAUU
This 253-nucleotide ribosomal RNA is filed under the name uncultured bacterium. RNAcentral's name for it is "partial 16S ribosomal RNA". It matches the Rfam family "Bacterial small subunit ribosomal RNA", at positions 526 to 779 of the family's 1533-position model. The record is from RNAcentral.